AACGCGAAGAACCUUACCUACUCUUGACAUCUAUGGAACCUAGCAGAGAUGCUGGGGUGCCUUCGGGAAUCAUAAGACAGGUGCUGCAUGGCUGUCGUCAGCUCGUGUCGUGAGAUGUUGGGUUAAGUCCCGUAACGAGCGCAACCCUUAUCCUUAGUUGCCAGCGAGUAAAGUCGGGAACUCUAGGGAGACUGCCGGUGACAAGCCGGAGGAAGGUGGGGACGACGUCAAGUCAUCAUGGCCCUUACGAGUAGGGCUACACGCGUGUUACAAUGGACGGUACAAAGGGCAGCGAACCUGCGAGGGGGAGCGAAUCUUAUCAAAGCCGUUCGUAGUCCGGAUUGGAGUCUGCAACUCGACUCCAUGAAGUUGGAAUCGCUAGUAAUCGUGGAUCAGAACGCCACGGUGAAUACGUUCCCGGGCCUGUACACACCGCAUAC
RNAcentral lists this ribosomal RNA (440 nucleotides) under uncultured bacterium. RNAcentral's name for it is "bacterial SSU rRNA". It matches the Rfam family "Bacterial small subunit ribosomal RNA", at positions 958 to 1397 of the family's 1533-position model. The record is from RNAcentral.